Molecule: non-coding RNA, 113 nt
Filed under: Vibrio sinaloensis
Lineage: Bacteria; Pseudomonadati; Pseudomonadota; Gammaproteobacteria; Vibrionales; Vibrionaceae
Description: TPP sequence
Rfam family: TPP riboswitch aptamer (THI element)
About the family: Vitamin B(1) in its active form thiamin pyrophosphate (TPP) is an essential coenzyme that is synthesised by coupling of pyrimidine and thiazole moieties in bacteria.
Source: RNAcentral
AGCAAAUAGUCGGGGGGCCUGACCAUCAUCGAUGGCAUGGCUGAGAUCGCACUGCGAGACCCGUUGAACCUGAUUCAGUUAACACUGACGUAGGGAACUAUUCGCGUGACACU